CUUCUUGGAAGGCCGAGGAAGAAAACCAAUGUUGCAGAUGCAAAGGGGAAGGUUCGAAACCAAGAUAUGCUUCAAAUAAAUAAGUGGGAUCCAAAGGUUGAUAUUGUGGACUUCAGUGGCAGCUUUUUGGCUCGUUUGCAUAAUCUUGUUGGUGUGCUUUUCCAUAUCAGUCAUUUGAGUAUUGUCUUCUACUCCCACGCCUUCCCCAAUAUCCACAGAACUUGGUGAGAGUGUAAAUUCAAAUUCAAAGCUCGCUAAUUUGAAUAUUAGCGGCUUGAAGUACAUCAUAUUGGACAUCGCAACAUAUCUUUUUUCUCUGCUGGGUUCCGUCCUCAAGUGGCAACACGUUUGUAUUCCGGGCUUGGGGUUUCAUUGCAUGGAGUUGGAGUUUCAACAGAGGUCAUGGUGCCAAGAAUCUGAACACCAGAAGACCGAUCCUCAAUACAUCUCUUCACCCCUCUUUUUGUUUCUGAUCACUUCUUAUUAAUUGUGCAUAAAACUUAGGUGGUAGAUCCUUCUUGCUCCCCAACCAAGGAGACACCCCGUUCGAUAAUUCGUGCAUAGUCCAGUUGGAUUUUUCAUGCACGAUCCUUAUUAUACCUUGAAACAAAGUAGUUUGUUAAGUCCAAUAACAUGUUCACCCUGAUGAUUAUAUAUUUGGUAGCCAAAGUUUUCAUUCCCACUCCCACGACCUUCUGAUCUUGCCACACAUUUAGCAAAUUUUUUUAGCCUUGUGAAAACGUAAUGCAUCCCCUCCUGACCAUCAAAAUCAUCGAAGAUUUCCCACAGGGCUUUUUCACAUAAAGAUCGGACUCAUGGAUACCAAGCUACGACCUCAAAAGCUCUCAUCAGUCCUCCACCGUCUACAUCUCGGGCAUGCUCCUCCACCAAUGAGGUCUGCUUGUGACGUGGCUAUAUUAGGUCUAGGAUGGAUUUCCAGUGAGCAAAACAUCGGGAGUUCGUAGAGGAGGAAGAAGAAUAAGACCAAAGUGGUACUUUUGAUGCUAGUGGUUUUUCCAUGAUCUAAGACGACAAUGCUAGGGGUUCUCAUCAUCUAUCUACCUCGAAUCUUCAAGGAGAAGAGAAAGGAGUGCUGCCCUCAACAUUUUGGUUUCGACCCUUUGAUAAAGAGCUUAUAACCUAUUAUCUGUGGAGGAAGAAGGGAAGAAGGUUAGGGGAGAAAAGCUGCUUUGGAUGGUAUUCAUGAGUUUGAUUUUUGUGGUUUGAAGACUAUUUGGGAGAUGUUUGAUGAUUUUGAUACUCAACCAGAGAAGCAUUACGAUUUCACAAGACUAAAGAAAUUAGUUAAAUGCAACAAGAUCAGCAGGUUGUGAGGCGGGCAUGAAAGUUAUGGGUAUCAAAUAUAUAAUAAUCAGGAUGCAUGUGUUAUGACUCGACAAACAGAUUUGGUUCAAGUGUAAUAAAGUUGUGUAUGAAGAUCAAUUGGAUUAUGCUUAAAUACUCUUUGAUGAUUGUCUCUUUGGUUGGGGAGCAAGAACAAUCUAAGCACCUAGGGUGUUUUUACGGUUAACAAGAAAGGAUCAAAAAUAAGAAGAGAGGUGAAGAGAUGUUUUGAUGAUUAGUUUUCUAGUGUUCGGAUUCUUGGCACCAUGACCUCUGUUGAAAUUUUAACUCUAUGCAAUGAAACUGUCCAAGCUCGGAGUACAAAUGUGUUGCCACUUGAAGACGGAACCUAGUAGAGAAAAAAUGUGUUGCGAUGUCCAAUAUGCUGUAGCCCCUUAUUAUGUUCAUUUGAAUUAGGAAGUUAUAAAUCUGAAUUUUGAAUUUACACUCACCGAGUUCUGUGGAUAUUUGGAGAAGACAUCUGAGUUUGUAUAUUUGUGCAUAUAUUUGUGCUGAUGAGUUCUUUGGUGCUGUGUCUGUUUA
Corylus avellana is the source of this 1887-nucleotide long non-coding RNA. RefSeq lists it as uncharacterized. The record is from RefSeq and is a predicted model, not a curated record. Lineage: Eukaryota; Viridiplantae; Streptophyta; Magnoliopsida; Fagales; Betulaceae.